UAGACAUGGCGUUCAGUAUGCGUCUCUCACCGCGUCAAUGGCCUCUUGGCACCGCGGAUCAAGUCGUCCAUCACCCCCUAUGAGCAAACAGAAGUUUGACAGGCACCUCGUGAGCAACACAUCCAUCCAAACAGCAGAGAUUUUCAAAUGUUGACGCAAAUUACCAAACUCGAGAUGAAAGUGAGUCAUACAGAUUUGGAACGGCAUGUUGAUCUAGUAGCAGAUACACCUUGUAUAGUUGAGGAUAAAUGAAGUCUGACCUUUGAUCAGCACGCUGCGAGCCUCGGCCCACUGUGUUCUGCCAUCUGAUGUGAGCAGACCGAUUGGAGGCAGACGCUCCUCUUCAAUGUCUGCCAUCUUUCUGAUUCGCUCCAAGUCCAGUACCUGAGGGUAUCACUUUGACACGUGAAGUUCUGCUUGGGAAAGACCAUCACAGGACUGGAGUUGACAG
Carassius carassius (crucian carp) is the source of this 451-nucleotide long non-coding RNA. RefSeq lists it as uncharacterized. Lineage: Eukaryota; Metazoa; Chordata; Actinopteri; Cypriniformes; Cyprinidae. The record is from RefSeq and is a predicted model, not a curated record. The transcript is spliced from 4 exons.